AAAUUCAAGGAAUUAAGAGUUUAUGGGGGAUACCUUGGCAUUCAGAAGCGAUGAAGGACGUGGUUACCGACGAAACGCUUCGGGGAGCUGGAAACAAGCUAUGAUCCGGAGAUCUCCGAAUGAGGAAACUCUAAUACUACUUAUUGAAUACAUAAAUAAGAAAGAGCGAACCUAGGGAACUGAAACAUCUUAGUACCUAGAGGAAAAGAAAGUAAAAACGAUUCCCUUAGUAGCGGCGAGCGAAAUGGGAACAGCCUAAACUUAAUUUUAAGGGUAGCGGGACAAUUAUUAAUGAUUAAAUGUGACAAUUAGACGAACUUAGAUGGAAUGCUAAACCAAAGAGAGUGAUAGUCUCGUAGUCGAAAAUUGAAACAAUCAAAUUGUAUCCCAAGUAGCAUGGAGCACGUGAAAUUCCGUGUGAAUCAGCGAGGACCACCUCGUAAGGCUAAAUAUUCCUGAAUGACCGAUAGUGAAAUAGUACCGUGAGGGAAAGGUGAAAAGAACCCCGGGAGGGGAGUGAAAAGAACAUGAAACCAUAAACUUACAACCAGUAGGAGGACGACUAAAACGUCUGACUGCGUGCCUGUUGAAGAAUGAGCCGGCGACUUAUAAGUAGUGGCAGGUUAAGGUAGAGAAUACCGGAGCCAUAGUGAAAGCGAGCCUGAAUAGGGCGUUUGUCACUGGUUAUAGACCCGAACCCGGAUGAUCUAACCAUGGCCAGGUUGAAGCUUAGGUAAUACUAAGUGGAGGACCGAACCGACUGAUGUUGAAAAAUCAGCGGAUGAGUUGUGGUUAGGGGUGAAAUGCCAAUCGAAUUCGGAGCUAGCUGGUUCUCCCCGAAAUGCGUUUAGGCGCAGCGAUGAAUGUUAUAGCUUAGGGGUAAAGCACUGUUACGUAUGCGGGCUGGUAAUUCGGUACCAAAUCGUUGCAAACUAAGAAUACUAAGUGUACAGUUCAUCAGUGAGACUGUGGGGGAUAAGCUCCAUUGUCAAGAGGGAAACAGCCCAGAGCACCAGUUAAGGCCCCUAAAUAAUUGCUAAGUGAUAAAGGAGGUGGGAGUGCAUAGACAAUCAGGAGGUUUGCUUAGAAGCAGCAAUCCUUUAAAGAGUGCGUAAUAGCUCACUGAUCGAGUAAACCUGCGCCGAAAAUGUACGGGACUAAGUAAUUUGCCGAAACUGUGCGAUAUAUAAAAUAUAUCGGUAGGGGAGCGUUCUGUUGUAGGUUGAAGUAUUAGCGGAAGCGGAUAUGGACGAAGCAGAAGUGAGAAUGUCGGCUUGAGUAACGAAAAUAUAGGUGAGAAUCCUAUACCCCGAAAACCCAAGGUUUCCUCCGGAAGGCUCGUCCGCGGAGGGUAAGUCAGGACCUAAGGCGAGGCUGAAAAGCGUAGUCGAUGGACAACGGGUUAAUAUUCCCGUACCAUUAUUUGUUGAUAUCGAGGGACGGAGAAGGCUAAGCUGGCCGGAUAUUGGUUACCGGUUUAAACGUUCGAGAUGAUGAGAAACGGCGAAAACGUUUUGAGUUGAGGCGUGAGUACGAGAUGCUACGGCAUUGAAGCAGUCUAUGUCAUACUUCCAAGAAAAGCUUGCACUGUCAUAAACAAAUAAUGCCUGUACCAUAACCGACACAGGUGGGUAGGUAGAGUAUACUAAGGGGCGCGAGAUAACUCUCUCUAAGGAACUCGGCAAAAUGACUCCGUAACUUCGGGAGAAGGAGUGCCUUAUUUAUAAGGUUGCAAUAACAAGAUCCAAGCAACUGUUUAUCAAAAACACAGGUCUCCGCUAAGUCGUAAGACGAUGUAUGGGGGCUGACGCCUGCCCAGUGCCAGAAGGUUAAAGAAGUUGGUUAGCAUUAGCGAAGCUGAUAACUGAAGCCCUGGUGAACGGCGGCCGUAACUAUAACGGUCCUAAGGUAGCGAAAUUCCUUGUCGGGUAAGUUCCGACCCGCACGAAAGGCGUAAUGAUUUGGAUACUGUCUCAGAGAGGGGCUCGGUGAAAUAGACUUGUCUGUGAAGAUGCGGACUACCUGCACCAGGACAGAAAGACCCUAUGAAGCUUUACUGUAACUUGAAAUUGAAAUUGGACUUUAUUUGCGCAGUAUAGGUGGGAGGCUUUGAAGGUAUUCUUGUGGGAAUACUGGAGCCAUCAGUGAGAUACCACUCUUGUAAUGUUAGAUUUCUAACUUUGAAUCAUUAUCUGGUCAAAGAACAGUUUCAGGCGGGCAGUUUGACUGGGGCGGUCGCCUCCUAAACGGUAACGGAGGCGCACAAAGGUUUCCUCUGAACGGGUAGAAAUCGUAUCUAGAGUGUAAAGGCAUAAGGAAGCUUGACUGUGAGACCUACAAGUCGAGCAGGGACGAAAGUCGGUCUUAGUGAUCUGACGGUGCUGAGUGGAAAGGCCGUCACUCAACGGAUAAAAGUUACUCUAGGGAUAACAGGCUGAUCUCCCCCAAGAGUUCACAUCGACGGGGAGGUUUGGCACCUCGAUGUCGGCUCAUCGCAUCCUGGGGCGGUAGUACGUCCCAAGGGUUGGGCUGUUCGCCCAUGAAAGCGGUACGCGAGCUGGGUUCAGAACGUCGUGAGACAGUUCGGUCCAUAUCCGGUGUAGGCGUUAGAAUAUUGAGAGGAGCCUUCUUUAGUACGAGAGGACCGAGAAGGACAUACCUAUGGUGUACCAGUUAUCGUGCCAACGGUAAACGCUGGGUAGCUAUGUAUGGAGUGGAUAACCGCUGAAAGCAUCUAAGUGGGAAGCCCACCUCAAGAUAAGUAUUCUCAUCACGUAAGUGAAUAAGGUCACGGUAAGACUAACCGUUUGAUAGGCAUUAAGUGUAAACCUAGUAAUAGGUGUGCUGAGAUGUACUAACAGACCGAAGACUUG
This 2873-nucleotide ribosomal RNA is filed under the name Phaeodactylum tricornutum. Its description in RNAcentral is "bacterial LSU rRNA". It matches the Rfam family "Bacterial large subunit ribosomal RNA". The record is from RNAcentral. Lineage: Eukaryota; Bacillariophyta; Bacillariophyceae; Surirellales; Neidiaceae.